Molecule: unclassified non-coding RNA, 227 nt
Filed under: Hevea brasiliensis (rubber tree)
Lineage: Eukaryota; Viridiplantae; Streptophyta; Magnoliopsida; Malpighiales; Euphorbiaceae
Source: RNAcentral
AACUCCUUUCUUUUCUUGUGAUAUGUAAUGAUGAAAUUUUUAAUUUUCAAGACUACAAAUUUAAAUGUUAUAUUUGAGUGUAAAUUAGGUGGAUCAAUCCCCCUCCUUCGUUUCAUUGCUUAGAUAUUUAUUGAAAAAGAAAAAGAAGCAAUUGAAGCAAAAUGUAGCAAUUUUAUUUUACCAUGCUGCAUAUCAUCGCCUGUAAUUACAUCAUCAUUGAAGAGUUG